GACAUAGGGGGCGAGCGUUGUCCGGAAUUACUGGGCGUAAAGAGCACGUAGGUGGAUAAUUAAGUCAGAUGUGAAAGACCGCAGCUCAACUGCGGGGUUGCAUUUGAAACUGGAAAUCUUGAGGGCAGGAGAGGGCAGUGGAAUUCCUGGUGUAGCGGUGAAAUGCGUAGAUAUUAGGAGGAACACCAGUUGCGAAGGCGGCUCUCUGGACUGUAACUGACACUGAGGCACGAAAGCGUGGGGAGCAAACAGGAUUAGA
RNAcentral lists this ribosomal RNA (259 nucleotides) under uncultured prokaryote. Its description in RNAcentral is "partial 16S ribosomal RNA". It matches the Rfam family "Bacterial small subunit ribosomal RNA", at positions 524 to 782 of the family's 1533-position model. The record is from RNAcentral.